CCUACGGGGGGCAGCAGUGGGGAAUAUUGCACAAUGGGCGCAAGCCUGAUGCAGCCAUGCCGCGUGUGUGAAGAAGGCCUUCGGGUUGGAAAGCACUUUCAGCGGGGAGGAAGGCGUUAAGGUUAAUAACCUUGUCGAUUGACGUUACCCGCAGAAGAAGCACCGGCUAACUCCGUGCCAGCAGCCGCGGUAAUACGGAGGGUGCAAGCGCUAAUCGGAAUUACUGGGCGUAAAGCGCACGCAGGCGGUCUGUCAAGUCGGAUGUGAAAUCCCCGGGCUCAACCUGGGAACUGCAUUCGAAACUGGCAGGCUAGAGUCUUGUAGAGGGGGGUAGAAUUCCAGGUGUAGCGGUGAAAUGCGUAGAGAUCUGGAGGAAUACCGGUGGCGAAGGCGGCCCCCUGGACAAAGACUGACGCUCAGGUGCGAAAGCGUGGGGAGCAAACAGGAUUAGAUACCCGAGUAGUC
RNAcentral lists this ribosomal RNA (465 nucleotides) under uncultured Klebsiella sp. RNAcentral describes it as "bacterial SSU rRNA". It matches the Rfam family "Bacterial small subunit ribosomal RNA", at positions 338 to 795 of the family's 1533-position model. The record is from RNAcentral. Lineage: Bacteria; Pseudomonadati; Pseudomonadota; Gammaproteobacteria; Enterobacterales; Enterobacteriaceae.